UGAGUACACUUUAAAUCCUUUAACCACAACCAAUUGGAGGGCAAGUCUGGUGCCAGCAGCCGCGGUAAUUCCAGCUCCAAUAGCGUAUAUUAAAGUUGUUGCGGUUAAAAAGCUCGUAGUUCGAGUUCAGUUCCGGACUGGCUGGGGAGGUCACCGCCCGGUGCUUCCCCGUCAGGCUCCGAACAGCUUUUAUAAACUAAAAGCCAAGUCGGUUUCGCCGGGGUGCUCUUCACCGAGUGUCCCGCGCGGCCGGCCAGUUUACCUUGAAUAAAUGAGAGUGCUCAAAGCAGGCUACUCUUAAAAAUAAAGCCCGAAUGUUACCUGCAUGGAAUGAUGGAAGAUGAAUCUCGGUUCCAUUUUAUUGGCUCUGGGAAUCCGAGUUAAUGAUAAACAGGGACGGUCGGGGGCAUCCGUACUACGACGCGAGAGGUGAAAUUCAGUGACCGUCGUAGGACGAACAACAGCGAAAGCAUUUGCCAAGAAUGUCUUCGUUGAUCAAGAACGAAAGUUAGAGGAUCGAAGGCGAUCAGAUACCGCCCUAGUUCUAACCCUAAACGAUGCUGACUAGCAAUCCGCCGUCGUUAUUCCCAUGACGUGGCGGGACGCCCCCGGGAAACCAUAAGUCUUUGAGUUCCGGGGGUAGUAUGGUUGCAAAACUGAAACUUAAAGGAAUUGACGGAAGGGCACCACCAGGAGUGGAGCCUGCGGCUUAAUUUGACUCAACACGGGAAACCUCACCAGGCCCGGACACCAGAAGGAUUGACAGAUUAAGAGCUCUUUCUCGAUUUGGUGGGUGGUGGUGCAUGGCCGUUCUUAGUUGGUGGAGUGAUUUGUCUGGUUAAUUCCGGUAACGAACGAGACUCUGGCCUACUAAAUAGUCGACGGGCGUUUUUGUGCAUGGGCCCCGUUCGAUUAUGUCUUCUUAGAGGGAUGAGCAGCGAGUAUAGCUGCAGGAGAUUGAGCAAUAACAGGUCUGUGAUGCCCUUAGAUGUCCUGGGCCGCACGCGCGCUACACUGAAUGGGUUAGCGGGUUCUCCUUCUCCGAGAGGAGCGGGAAAUCGCGUGAAAACCAUUCGUGAUAGGGAUUGGGGCUUGCAAUUGUUUCCCAUGAACGAGGAAUUCCCAGUAAGCGCAAGUCAUCAGCUUGCGUUGAUUAAGUCCCUGCCCUUUGUACACACCGCCCGUCGCUACUACCGAUUGAAUGAUUUAGUGAGGCCUUCGGACUGGCGGUCUUGGACUGGGUUCCAUUUGCUAUCUAACUCCAGCGAUGGGGGGCAGUGGACUCGCCAUGACGAGACGGAAAGAUGUCCAAACUUGAUCAUUUAGAGGAAGUAAAAGUCGUAACAAGGUUUCC
This 1354-nucleotide ribosomal RNA is filed under the name Pasiphaea sivado. RNAcentral's name for it is "SSU rRNA". It matches the Rfam family "Eukaryotic small subunit ribosomal RNA", at positions 515 to 1804 of the family's 1831-position model. Lineage: Eukaryota; Metazoa; Arthropoda; Malacostraca; Decapoda; Pasiphaeidae. The record is from RNAcentral.